UACGGAGGGUCCAAGCGUUAUCCGGAAUCAUUGGGUUUAAAGGGUCCGUAGGCGGUUUUGUAAGUCAGUGGUGAAAGCCCAUCGCUCAACGGUGGAACGGCCAUUGAUACUGCAAGACUUGAAUUAUUAGGAAGUAACUAGAAUAUGUAGUGUAGCGGUGAAAUGCUUAGAGAUUACAUGGAAUACCAAUUGCGAAGGCAGGCUACUGCUAAUGGAUUGACGCUGAUGGACGAAAGCGUGGGGAGCGAACAGG
This 253-nucleotide ribosomal RNA is filed under the name uncultured bacterium. Its description in RNAcentral is "partial 16S ribosomal RNA". It matches the Rfam family "Bacterial small subunit ribosomal RNA", at positions 524 to 776 of the family's 1533-position model. The record is from RNAcentral.